ACUCCUACGGGAGGCAGCAGUGGGGAAUAUUGCACAAUGGGCGCAAGCCUGAUGCAGCCAUGCCGCGUGUGUGAAGAAGGCCUUCGGGUUGUAAAGCACUUUCAGUCGUGAGGAAGGUAGUGUAGUUAAUAGCUGCAUUAUUUGACGUUAGCGACAGAAGAAGCACCGGCUAACUCCGUGCCAGCAGCCGCGGUAAUACGGAGGGUGCGAGCGUUAAUCGGAAUUACUGGGCGUAAAGCGCAUGCAGGUGGUUUGUUAAGUCAGAUGUGAAAGCCCGGGGCUCAACCUCGGAAUAGCAUUUGAAACUGGCAGACUAGAGUACUGUAGAGGGGGGUAGAAUUUCAGGUGUAGCGGUGAAAUGCGUAGAGAUCUGAAGGAAUACCGGUGGCGAAGGCGGCCCCCUGGACAGAUACUGACACUCAGAUGCGAAAGCGUGGGGGAGCAAACAGGAUUAGAUA
Molecule: ribosomal RNA, 458 nt
Filed under: uncultured bacterium
Lineage: Bacteria
Description: bacterial SSU rRNA
Rfam family: Bacterial small subunit ribosomal RNA
Source: RNAcentral